GGGUUGUGAGGUUAAGCGACUAAGCGUACACGGUGGAUGCCCUGGCAGUCAGAGGCGAUGAAGGACGUGCUAAUCUGCGAUAAGCGUCGGUAAGGUGAUAUGAACCGUUAUAACCGGCGAUUUCCGAAUGGGGAAACCCAGUGUGUUUCGACACACUAUCAUUAACUGAAUCCAUAGGUUAAUGAGGCGAACCGGGGGAACUGAAACAUCUAAGUACCCCGAGGAAAAGAAAUCAACCGAGAUUCCCCCAGUAGCGGCGAGCGAACGGGGAGCAGCCCAGAGCCUGAAUCAGUGUGUGUGUUAGUGGAAGCGUCUGGAAAGGCGCGCGAUACAGGGUGACAGCCCCGUACACAAAAAUGCACAUGCUGUGAGCUCGAUGAGUAGGGCGGGACACGUGGUAUCCUGUCUGAAUAUGGGGGGACCAUCCUCCAAGGCUAAAUACUCCUGACUGACCGAUAGUGAACCAGUACCGUGAGGGAAAGGCGAAAAGAACCCCGGCGAGGGGAGUGAAAAAGAACCUGAAACCGUGUACGUACAAGCAGUGGGAGCACGCUUAGGCGUGUGACUGCGUACCUUUUGUAUAAUGGGUCAGCGACUUAUAUUCUGUAGCAAGGUUAACCGAAUAGGGGAGCCGAAGGGAAACCGAGUCUUAACUGGGCGUUAAGUUGCAGGGUAUAGACCCGAAACCCGGUGAUCUAGCCAUGGGCAGGUUGAAGGUUGGGUAACACUAACUGGAGGACCGAACCGACUAAUGUUGAAAAAUUAGCGGAUGACUUGUGGCUGGGGGUGAAAGGCCAAUCAAACCGGGAGAUAGCUGGUUCUCCCCGAAAGCUAUUUAGGUAGCGCCUCGUGAAUUCAUCUCCGGGGGUAGAGCACUGUUUCGGCAAGGGGGUCAUCCCGACUUACCAACCCGAUGCAAACUGCGAAUACCGGAGAAUGUUAUCACGGGAGACACACGGCGGGUGCUAACGUCCGUCGUGAAGAGGGAAACAACCCAGACCGCCAGCUAAGGUCCCAAAGUCAUGGUUAAGUGGGAAACGAUGUGGGAAGGCCCAGACAGCCAGGAUGUUGGCUUAGAAGCAGCCAUCAUUUAAAGAAAGCGUAAUAGCUCACUGGUCGAGUCGGCCUGCGCGGAAGAUGUAACGGGGCUAAACCAUGCACCGAAGCUGCGGCAGCGACGCUGAUGCGUUGUUGGGUAGGGGAGCGUUCUGUAAGCCUGCGAAGGUGUGCUGUGAGGCAUGCUGGAGGUAUCAGAAGUGCGAAUGCUGACAUAAGUAACGAUAAAGCGGGUGAAAAGCCCGCUCGCCGGAAGACCAAGGGUUCCUGUCCAACGUUAAUCGGGGCAGGGUGAGUCGACCCCUAAGGCGAGGCCGAAAGGCGUAGUCGAUGGGAAACAGGUUAAUAUUCCUGUACUUGGUGUUACUGCGAAGGGGGGACGGAGAAGGCUAUGUUGGCCGGGCGACGGUUGUCCCGGUUUAAGCGUGUAGGCUGGUUUUCCAGGCAAAUCCGGAAAAUCAAGGCUGAGGCGUGAUGACGAGGUACUACGGUGCUGAAGCAACAAAUGCCCUGCUUCCAGGAAAAGCCUCUAAGCAUCAGGUAACAUCAAAUCGUACCCCAAACCGACACAGGUGGUCAGGUAGAGAAUACCAAGGCGCUUGAGAGAACUCGGGUGAAGGAACUAGGCAAAAUGGUGCCGUAACUUCGGGAGAAGGCACGCUGAUAUGUAGGUGAAGUCCCUUGCGGAUGGAGCUGAAAUCAGUCGAAGAUACCAGCUGGCUGCAACUGUUUAUUAAAAACACAGCACUGUGCAAACACGAAAGUGGACGUAUACGGUGUGACGCCUGCCCGGUGCCGGAAGGUUAAUUGAUGGGGUCAGCGCAAGCGAAGCUCUUGAUCGAAGCCCCGGUAAACGGCGGCCGUAACUAUAACGGUCCUAAGGUAGCGAAAUUCCUUGUCGGGUAAGUUCCGACCUGCACGAAUGGCGUAAUGAUGGCCAGGCUGUCUCCACCCGAGACUCAGUGAAAUUGAACUCGCUGUGAAGAUGCAGUGUACCCGCGGCAAGACGGAAAGACCCCGUGAACCUUUACUAUAGCUUGACACUGAACAUUGAGCCUUGAUGUGUAGGAUAGGUGGGAGGCUUGGAAGUGUGGACGCCAGUCUGCAUGGAGCCGACCUUGAAAUACCACCCUUUAAUGUUUGAUGUUCUAACGUUGACCCGUAAUCCGGGUUGCGGACAGUGUCUGGUGGGUAGUUUGACUGGGGCGGUCUCCUCCUAAAGAGUAACGGAGGAGCACGAAGGUUGGCUAAUCCUGGUCGGACAUCAGGAGGUUAGUGCAAUGGCAUAAGCCAGCUUGACUGCGAGCGUGACGGCGCGAGCAGGUGCGAAAGCAGGUCAUAGUGAUCCGGUGGUUCUGAAUGGAAGGGCCAUCGCUCAACGGAUAAAAGGUACUCCGGGGAUAACAGGCUGAUACCGCCCAAGAGUUCAUAUCGACGGCGGUGUUUGGCACCUCGAUGUCGGCUCAUCACAUCCUGGGGCUGAAGUAGGUCCCAAGGGUAUGGCUGUUCGCCAUUUAAAGUGGUACGCGAGCUGGGUUUAGAACGUCGUGAGACAGUUCGGUCCCUAUCUGCCGUGGGCGCUGGAGAACUGAGGGGGGCUGCUCCUAGUACGAGAGGACCGGAGUGGACGCAUCACUGGUGUUCGGGUUGUCAUGCCAAUGGCACUGCCCGGUAGCUAAAUGCGGAAGAGAUAAGUGCUGAAAGCAUCUAAGCACGAAACUUGCCCCGAGAUGAGUUCUCCCUGACCCUUUAAGGGUCCUGAAGGAACGUUGAAGACGACGACGUUGAUAGGCCGGGUGUGUAAGCGCAGCGAUGCGUUGAGCUAACCGGUACUAAUGAACCGUGAGGCUUAACCUUACAACGCCGAAGCUGUU
RNAcentral lists this ribosomal RNA (2930 nucleotides) under Escherichia coli. RNAcentral's name for it is "23S ribosomal RNA". It matches the Rfam family "Bacterial large subunit ribosomal RNA". The record is from RNAcentral. Lineage: Bacteria; Pseudomonadati; Pseudomonadota; Gammaproteobacteria; Enterobacterales; Enterobacteriaceae.